GGGAGCCCGGGCAACAUCACGGUAGCUCUGUGGAGCCCUCCCAGUUCCCUGGUUGGGUCCGUACAUGCAGGCCCAGGCCUCUGCCACCUCACAGGAAUCAGUGAUGAGCUGAAGUAGAUACCAGCAAGCUGUGUGCCCCCAAAGCUGGCAUGUUAGGACCAUGGAGAGGAGCAGCAUGCCCCCAGGCAGCCACUCAGAGGGGCUUUGUAACAGAAGCACACAGGACCAUUGCAGACAAUUCAAGUGCUCUAAUAUAUCUCAUCAUCACGUCGUGCCACCCUGUCUACCUGCAAUUGUGUUUCUUCAGAGCAUCAAAUAAGGAGUCAGGGGCACAGUGAGACCCCCACACAGAAGGUUGAGGCCACGCCACUGACCAGCUGCAGGCCACACGGCAGAGGAGACUGGCCGUAGUCCUGGUCGCCCGAGUGCCAUCGAUUGGGGCUGCCACCACCAGCCCAGUGCUGCACCAGCACUGGCCACCAUUCCUGGUUCCCCACAGCAAGCCUAUAUGACAGGCGAUGGUGUCUCCAUUUUACAGACAAGGAAGCGGACGCCAGGGAGGGCAAGGGCUUGGUUCAAGGGUAGGCAAACAGUGCUGGUGACAACAGCAAGUAGGAACGCAGGCCCUGGUGAAGCCCUUCCUGUGAACCAGAUGCAGAUUGACAGAGCAGUGCCCGAGAUCCCCAUGUAUCCUAGAACCACACGGUUUUCUGUGUGCCCGGAAGCCACACGCCCGAGGACCUGCGGACAGGUGCAAAGAGGAUGACCUCGGGAACGGCGAUUCUUGAGGUGCCCUUUGGACCCCGAAUGACAGUGUUUGCUGCUCGUCCUCAGGCCAGAGCACUUUAAAUAAAAACAACACUCACAUUCUUGUGUUUGUAUAAAAGAUAUUUACUUCAAUUAUCACACCUACGGUGCUAGUGAAUAAUAAUACAUGGUGUGAGUCUCAUACAGUGAUAUUGCUUCUCCGUAUUAUAUAGGGACCGUUGUACAGUGCUGAGAACAAACAUCGUAUGGCUAACCAAAGACAGAGGGACAACACCAAGGGGCCGACGGGUGCCUCCCCCACCCCUACGCCAGCCAGGUCAACUUUGACUCUUAAUGUAGAAAAACAAAUAGCAAGAAAAUGUUACCAGAGAGAUGUCACACAGCAACACACCAG
This 1162-nucleotide long non-coding RNA is filed under the name Pan troglodytes (chimpanzee). RNAcentral describes it as "long non-coding RNA NONPTRT015699". The record is from RNAcentral. Lineage: Eukaryota; Metazoa; Chordata; Mammalia; Primates; Hominidae.